This 1524-nucleotide long non-coding RNA is filed under the name Oncorhynchus kisutch (coho salmon). RNAcentral's name for it is "lncRNA (ENSOKIG00005010801.1)". The record is from RNAcentral. Lineage: Eukaryota; Metazoa; Chordata; Actinopteri; Salmoniformes; Salmonidae.
GCAUUAAAGAGCAGAGUAUUGCACUCUGUUUCCUGCGUCUGACUCCACACCCACGACACCCGGAGCGUUACAAAUAUGGAUUGGUCUGUGUUGUUGCAUCUUGUUUUAUCUGAAGAUAUUAUGUUAGCCAUGGAGAACUGCAAAUAUGUUGCUACUCCUCUCAAUAGCAUUGCUGCUCUGAAUUUCUCAGGUGCUAUCGACAAAGGUCAGUUGGAAAAAGUUGUGAUGGACUACUUUCUGGACGACGAUCGUGCCAUGCAAUGCUGACUCUCAUUUCAUAACACAUUUUGAAAUCAGUGGAACACAACGGUCCAAACUAAACAGAAACAACACAGGAUGUCUUACAAAAGGGUUUGCAGUCUGCAUUGAAGUUUUCAUCCAUGUAUACAGCAUUAAUUUGUGGAACACGCCUGACUCUAAUCUGCCAGUCAUACAUUCAUCAAAAAGAGAGGUAGCCCAAACAAGCAAAGGCAAAAGCGAAGUCAUCAACUACAUGCACCAUUUCUUCACCAACUACGGAGUUGGGAAAACACGUGUGGACCUGAAUUGUCAUAACUGCAGUGGCCAAAACAAGAACAAGUUUGUGCUCUGGUAUUGUGCCUGGUGGACCAUGCACAAGCUCCACCACAAUCUGGACCUUCACUUCCUGAUCACAGGCCACACAAAGUUUGCCCUUGUGGGGUACUUUGGCCUCAUCAAGCAGCGCUCUUGAAGACCAGAGUGAACACUUUAUCUGAGAUUACUGUCCUUCACGACACCAGCACUGUGACAGGGGUCAACAUCCCAUGGCUGCUUGGACUGGAGGAUGGUAUGGUGCUGGUGGAAAGCUAUGGCUGGCAACAACACCUGACUCUGUACUUCAGGCCGCUGCCACAGAUCAAGCAGUACCAGCACUUCAGCUUCGAUGCUCCGGAGCCUGGUGUUGUUGCCAAGGAGCGUUCGGACUGCUGGGACCAGGUUUUAGCUGCUGCACAACGCUGACAUCCUUCCUCCACAAACUCUUUUUGACAAGAUCAGGGAGUUUUGCGAUGAAGAGGCUAUGGACAUCACAUGCCCUGCACCAAAGCCAAGGGCAGGACAGAAACAGGCUCUCCGAAUAUAGAUUCCCUUGUUCAUGCGUGGUUUGGAGUCAACUGCACUAUCUGCAGUGCCUCUAUUCACAUGACUCUCUACUAACACACACACCAUACGUUGCUGCUAUUUUUGUUGUUGUCCUGCUGCUCAGCCACUUUACCCCUGAUUGGUAUGCAUAUAAGUACCUUGUCUAUCACUAUUGAUAUUGUUUGUGUACAUACUGUAUAUUUGAUUUAUAUUUACACUAUAUUUCUAUUGCUAUUAUGCAAGUAACCAUUUGGCUAUAAAGUUUACACCUCUGUAGAGACCAUCCACUUAGCAAAAUAUUGAUAUAUUGUGCCCCUGGCUAUCCAUCAAUAAAACAUUAUAGCAUUUCUUUCACAUGACCCAUCAAUUUAGACAAGUGUAUCUGGGUAAGUGUCAUCUAAUAUGGACACUUUCCACUUACCU